RNAcentral lists this ribosomal RNA (774 nucleotides) under uncultured Neocallimastigales. RNAcentral's name for it is "partial large subunit ribosomal RNA". It matches the Rfam family "Eukaryotic large subunit ribosomal RNA", at positions 24 to 633 of the family's 3401-position model. The record is from RNAcentral. Lineage: Eukaryota; Fungi; Neocallimastigomycota; Neocallimastigomycetes; Neocallimastigales.
GUAGUCUCGCACAGAUGCAUAUCAAUAAGCGGAGGAAAAGAAACUAACAAGGAUUCCCCUAGUAACGGCGAGUGAAGCGGGAAGAGCUCAAAUUUGAAAUCUUAAAGGGUUUCCCUUUACGAAUUGUAGUUUAAAGAAGUGUUUUCUGUUGAGGUUUUGGUAAAAGUUCUUUGGAAUAGGACAUCAUAGAGGGUGAGAAUCCCGUAUUUGACCUUUACUUUCAACUUUGUGAUACACUUUCAAAGAGUCGGAUUGUUUGGGAAUGCAGUCCAAAAUGGGUGGUAAAUUUCAUCUAAAGCUAAAUAUUGGCGAGAGACCGAUAGCGAACAAGUACCGUGAGGGAAAGAUGAAAAGAACUUUGAAAAGAGAGUUAAACAGUACGUGAAAUUGUCAAAAGGGAGGCGUUUGACACCAGUGUUGUUUUUCUGAAAAUCAAUUAAAGAACUGUUUAUGCUAAGCUGUUUAGACUUUAUCAGCUAUCUGUUUAGUUUUGAGCUUUUCUUUAAUGCACUUUUCAGUUAACAAGUCAACAUCAAUUUCUUUUGCUGUAAAAAAGCUUGAGGAAGGUGGCUUGAGAUUCGUCUUAAGUGUUUAUAGCCUCUUGCCUAUGCAGUCGGAGAGAUUGAGGUCUGCAGCGUAGAUCCUUCGGGGCUAAAUGCAUUUGUGCUAAGUUAUAGCAUUUUAUAGACAACUUGUUGACUAUGAUUUGUCUUGUAGCUUACUCGCUUAUGUUAUUUUACCUACGCUUAGGAUGUUGAAGACUCUACAGAGAUA